Molecule: unclassified non-coding RNA, 379 nt
Filed under: uncultured Oligoflexales bacterium
Lineage: Bacteria; Pseudomonadati; Bdellovibrionota; Oligoflexia; Oligoflexales
Description: contains 16S-23S intergenic spacer region
Source: RNAcentral
UCCGUGUUCACCACGGCAGUCUCCUUAGAGAGCCCAACUGAAUGCUGGCAACUAAGGACAAGGGUUGCGCUCGUUGCGGGACUUAACCCAACAUGUCACCACACGAGCUGACGACAGCCAUGCAGCACCUGUCUCCCGGCGGUAUUGCUACCGAGACCGUAUUUCUACGGCUGUCCGGGGAUGUCAAACCCAGGUAAGGUUCUUCGCGUUGCUUCGAAUUAAACCACAUGAUCCACCGCUUGUGCGGGCCCCCGUCAAUUCCUUUGAGUUUUAGUCUUGCGACCGUACUUCCCAGGCGGGGUACUUAGUGCGUUAGCGCCGGUUCAGCAGGGGUCAAGACCCGCCAAACCUAGUACCCAUCGUUUACAGCGUGGACUAC